UUCCAGGCAAAUCCGGAAGGUCAACAUUGAGGUCAAGGACGAGUCCGCGUGGACGAAGUCACCGAUAUCACGCUUCCAGGAAAAGCCUCUAAGCUUCAGGUCACGAGAGACCGUACCGUAAACCGACACAGGUAGGCAGGAUGAGAAUUCUCAGGCGCUUGAGAGAACUUGGGUGAAGGAACUAGGCAAAAUAGUACCGUAACUUCGGGAGAAGGUACGCCAGCACUUAACUGUGUUGGCCGCAGUAACCAGGCCGCUGCGACUGUUUAUCAAAAACACAGCACUCUGCAAACACGAAAGUGGACGUAUAGGGUGUGACGCCUGCCCGGUGCCGGAAGGUUAAUUGAUGGGGUGCAAGCUCUUGAUCGAAGCCCCGGUAAACGGCGGCCGUAACAAUAACGGUCCUAAGGUAGCGAAAUUCCUUGUCGGGUAAGUUCCGACCUGCACGAAUGGCGUAACGACAGCGGCGCUGUCUCCACCCAAGGCUCAGUGAAAUUGAAAUCGCUGUGAAGAUGCAGCGUUCCCGCGGCAAGACGGAAAGACCCCGUGAACCUUUACUAUAGCUUCACACUGAACGUUGAGUUCGUCUGUGUAGGAUAGGUGGGAGCCUACGAAGCGUUGGCGCUAGCUGAUGUGGAGGCAACCUUGAAAUACCACCCUGAUGUGCUUGACGUUCUAACCUGGGUCCGUAAUCCGGAUCGGGGACAGUGUGUGGUGGGUAGUUUGACUGGGGCGGUCUCCUCCCAAAGAGUAACGGAGGAGCACGAAGGUGCGCUCAGCACGGUCGGACAUCGUGCGUAGUGUGUAAAGGCAUAAGCGCGCUUGACUGCGAGAUCGACGGAUCAAGCAGGUACGAAAGUAGGUCUUAGUGAUCCGGUGGUUCUGUAUGGAAGGGCCAUCGCUCAACGGAUAAAAGGUACUCCGGGGAUAACAGGCUGAUACCGCCCAAGAGUUCAUAUCGACGGCGGUGUUUGGCACCUCGAUGUCGGCUCAUCACAUCCUGGGGCUGUAGCCGGUCCCAAGGGUAUGGCUGUUCGCCAUUUAAAGUGGUACGCGAGCUGGGUUCAGAACGUCGUGAGACAGUUCGGUCCCUAUCUGUCGUGGGCGUUAGAGAUUUGAGGGGGGUUGCUCCUAGUACGAGAGGACCGGAGUGAACGAAUCUCUGGUGUUCCGGUUGUCACGCCAGUGGCAUUGCCGGGUAGCUAAAUUCGGAAGCGAUAACCGCUGAAAGCAUCUAAGCGGGAAGCGCGCCCCAAGAUGAGAUCUCUCCCUCCUUGAGAGGAUAAGAGCCCAGGAAGACCACCUGGUUGAUAGGCGCGGUGUGUAAGCGUGGUAACACGUUGAGCUUACGCGUACUAAUUGCUCGAAGGCUUGAC
Molecule: ribosomal RNA, 1376 nt
Filed under: metagenome
Description: bacterial LSU rRNA
Rfam family: Bacterial large subunit ribosomal RNA
Source: RNAcentral